This 760-nucleotide ribosomal RNA is filed under the name uncultured bacterium. RNAcentral describes it as "bacterial SSU rRNA". It matches the Rfam family "Bacterial small subunit ribosomal RNA", at positions 729 to 1501 of the family's 1533-position model. The record is from RNAcentral.
CUAGACAGUAACUGACGCUGAGGCACGAAAGCGUGGGGAGCAAAUAGGAUUAGAUACCCUAGUAGUCCACGCUGUAAACGAUGAAUGCUAAGUAUCGGGGCGACCCGGUGCUGCAGCCAACGCAAUAAGCAUUCCGCCUGUGGAGUAUGCACGCAAGUGUGAAACAUAAAGGAAUUGACGGGGGCCCGCACAAGCGGUGGAGUAUGUGGUUUAAUUCGACGCAACGCGAAGAACCUUACCAGGCCUUGACAUCCCUUGCAGAGGUGUAGAGAUACAUCCGAGGUUAUCAAGGAGACAGGUGGUGCAUGGUUGUCGUCAGCUCGUGUCGUGAGAUGUUGGGUUAAGUCCCGCAACGAGCGCAACCCUUGUCUUCAGUUACCAUCAUUAAGUUGGGGACUCUGAAGAGACUGCUGGUGAUAAACCGGAGGAAGGUGGGGAUGACGUCAAAUCAUCAUGCCCCUUAUGGCCUGGGCUACACACGUACUACAAUGGCGUAUACAACGAGGAGCGACACUGCGAAGUGAAGCAAAUCUCUUAAAGUACGUCUCAGUUCGGAUUGAAGUCUGCAACCCGACUUCAUGAAGCUGGAAUCGCUAGUAAUCGCGGAUCAGCAUGCCGCGGUGAAUACGUUCUCGGGCCUUGUACACACCGCCCGUCAUACCAUGAGAGUUGGCAAUACCCGAAGCCGGUGGCCUAACCGCAAGGAAGGAGCCGUCGAAGGUAGGGCUGAUGAUUGGGGUCAAGUCGUAACAAGGUAACC